ACUGAAAACAAUAUGGGAAGUUGAUG
Molecule: small RNA, 26 nt
Filed under: Bombyx mori (domestic silkworm)
Lineage: Eukaryota; Metazoa; Arthropoda; Insecta; Lepidoptera; Bombycidae
Description: ovarian small RNA-11687
Source: RNAcentral